UGGGGAAUUUUGGACAAUGGGGGAAACCCUGAUCCAGCCAUCCCGCGUGUGCGAUGAAGGCCUUCGGGUUGUAAAGCACUUUUGGCAGGAAAGAAACGUCGCGGGUUAAUACCCCGCGAAACUGACGGUACCUGCAGAAUAAGCACCGGCUAACUACGUGCCAGCAGCCGCGGUAAUACGUAGGGUGCAAGCGUUAAUCGGAAUUACUGGGCGUAAAGCGUGCGCAGGCGGUUCGGAAAGAAAGAUGUGAAAUCCCAGAGCUUAACUUUGGAACUGCAUUUUUAACUACCGGGCUAGAGUGUGUCAGAGGGAGGUGGAAUUCCGCGUGUAGCAGUGAAAUGCGUAGAUAUGCGGAGGAACACCGAUGGCGAAGGCAGCCUCCUGGGAUAACACUGACGCUCAUGCACGAAAGCGUGGGGAGCAAACAGGAUUAGAUACCCUGGUAGUCCACGCCCUAAACGAUGUCAACUAGCUGUUGGGGCCUUCGGGCCUUGGUAGCGCAGCUAACGCGUGAAGUUGACCGCCUGGGGAGUACGGUCGCAAGAUUAAAACUCAAAUGAAUUGACGGGGGUCAUAGCUGUUUUCCU
RNAcentral lists this ribosomal RNA (587 nucleotides) under uncultured bacterium. Its description in RNAcentral is "partial 16S ribosomal RNA". It matches the Rfam family "Bacterial small subunit ribosomal RNA", at positions 355 to 939 of the family's 1533-position model. The record is from RNAcentral.